This 757-nucleotide small RNA is filed under the name Pongo abelii (Sumatran orangutan). Its description in RNAcentral is "retained intron". Lineage: Eukaryota; Metazoa; Chordata; Mammalia; Primates; Hominidae. The record is from RNAcentral.
GACCUUGCAUGUUGCUCAGAUGAGGUUUCUCCUUUAAAACAAAAUUCCCUGGUGCUCUUCUGGGCCCAGCCAGGCUGGACAGUCCCCGGUGGCCACCACGGCCCGCCACAGCCCUGGUCGUAGGCCCCAGGGCUCAGCCAGCUGCCUCUCUCUUCCAGUGUGUGAUGACGCUGCUCUACGCCUUCUCCAAGGACAUAUUCUCCGUCAUCAACUUCUUCAGCUUCUUCAACUGGCUCUGCGUGGCCCUGGCCAUCAUCGGCAUGAUCUGGCUGCGCUACAGAAAGCCUGAGCUUGAGCGGCCCAUUAAGGUGAACCUGGCCCUGCCCGUGUUCUUCAUCCUGGCCUGCCUCUUCCUGAUCGCUGUCUCCUUCUGGAAGACACCCGUGGAGUGUGGCAUCGGCUUCACCAUCAUCCUCAGCGGGCUGCCCGUCUACUUCUUCGGGGUCUGGUGGAAAAACAAGCCCAAGUGGCUCCUCCAGGGCAUCUUCUCCACGACCGUCCUGUGUCAGAAGCUCAUGCAGGUGGUCCCCCAGGAGACAUAGCCAGGAGGCCGAGUGGCUGCCGGAGGAGCAUGCGCAGAGGCCAGCUAAAGUAGUUCACCUCCUCGAACCCACUCCGGUUCCCCGCAACCCACAGCUCAGCUGCGCAUCCCAGUCCCUCGCCGUCCCUCCCAGGUCGGGCAGCGGAGGCUGUUGUGAAAACUCUGGUACGAAUCUCAUCCCUCAACUGAGGGCCAGGGACCCAGGUGUGCUUUUGG